Molecule: long non-coding RNA, 496 nt
Organism: Limulus polyphemus (Atlantic horseshoe crab)
Lineage: Eukaryota; Metazoa; Arthropoda; Merostomata; Xiphosura; Limulidae
Exons: 2
Source: RefSeq, a predicted model, not a curated record
UCAGCAAAAGAAGUAUAGUAUUUAUCGUUCAUUUACUCUCCCAAGCAUGUUGAAACAUGUAGUCAUAGUUAGAGUAUUUCACUUAUCGACUGGAAAAGAAAGCCCAGUUGACAUGUUCUGGCGUCGAACGAAAGGCCUUCUGGGUAGUGACUUGUGGGAGACAAUAGAUAGAUCUGAAAUGGUGUUUUUACAUGCUCUGAUUAGAAAUUAGAAAUGAACAAAUAAAUAGGAAUACGGGAAACUUAAUCUACAGUUUACGCGAUUUGUAAAAUUCUUUGCUCUACAAACAGAGUACUGAUACAGUGCAUGGAAAAAUACAUCCAAGAAAAAAUUGUUGUAUUGAUCUAUUACCAAAAUUGUGGAUGUUAGGGUACUUGGAAUGCAACUCUAAUUUCCAGUAUCCUGGCGGUAAAUACACACACUAAAAUAUUGUCGAAGUGUACUGCUCUUGUGGCGUUUCCAUUUUCAUGUUGAAUAAAAUAAUUUAAUGAUGUCA